AUUGUGUGUGUAUCUCUGUAGUUAAGUGUGUGUGUGUGUGUGUGUGUGUAUAUAUAUAUACACACACACACACACACACACUCUUAACUACGUGUAUCUG
Molecule: non-coding RNA, 100 nt
Organism: Pelobates cultripes (western spadefoot toad)
Lineage: Eukaryota; Metazoa; Chordata; Amphibia; Anura; Pelobatidae
Source: the annotation of a GenBank genome assembly